Molecule: ribosomal RNA, 497 nt
Filed under: uncultured bacterium
Lineage: Bacteria
Description: partial 16S ribosomal RNA
Rfam family: Bacterial small subunit ribosomal RNA
Source: RNAcentral
GAUGAACGCUGGCGGCGUGCCUAAUACAUGCAAGUCGAGCGAACAGAUGAGGAGCUUGCUCCUCUGACGUUAGCGGCCGACGGGUGAGUAACACGUGGAUAACCUACCUAUAAGACUGGGAUAACUUCGGGAAACCGGAGCUAAUACCGGAUAAUAUAUUGAACCGCAUGGUUCAAUAGUGAAAGACGGUUUUGCUGUCACUUAUAGAUGGAUCCGCGCCGCAUUAGCUAGUUGGUAAGGUAACGGCUUACCAAGGCAACGAUGCGUAGCCGACCUGAGAGGGUGAUCGGCCACACUGGAACUGAGACACGGUCCAGACUCCUACGGGAGGCAGCAGUAGGGAAUCUUCCGCAAUGGGCGAAAGCCUGACGGAGCAACGCCGCGUGAGUGAUGAAGGUCUUCGGAUCGUAAAACUCUGUUAUUAGGGAAGAACAAAUGUGUAAGUAACUAUGCACGUCUUGACGGUACCUAAUCAGAAAGCCACGGCUAACUACGUG